This 367-nucleotide long non-coding RNA is filed under the name Cicer arietinum (chickpea). RNAcentral's name for it is "long non-coding RNA (CARI_LNC002095)". Lineage: Eukaryota; Viridiplantae; Streptophyta; Magnoliopsida; Fabales; Fabaceae. The record is from RNAcentral.
GAUCUCUAAGCACACCUAAGAGAGAUUUUAAGAGAGUUUUAUAUGUUACCUUAACUUGUAAAAGUGAGAGAGUUGUGUCUUUUUCUAAGGUUGAGCUUUAGUCCCAUUCAUUGAUAAUAACCCUAACUUGGCUUCCAUAUUCAAUCUUCAAUUUGUUUCUUCAAGAGUGAAACCUAAUCUUUUUUCCUUCUAUCUUCCUCUCUUCAUUUGUAUUCAUCAUUUUUGUAAGAAGAAUAUAUUGUAAAGGGAUGGUGUGGAUAAGCUUGGAGGUAGAACAUGCAAUGGAGGGUGGUGGCGUUUUCUCCUUUCUUCUUCAUUUUCUCUCAUCUUUUACAUUCAACCCUCCAUCUUUCUUUCUUUCAUUCAU